This 449-nucleotide ribosomal RNA is filed under the name uncultured bacterium. RNAcentral's name for it is "partial 16S ribosomal RNA". It matches the Rfam family "Bacterial small subunit ribosomal RNA", at positions 354 to 796 of the family's 1533-position model. The record is from RNAcentral.
GUGGGGAAUAUUGGACAAUGGGGGGAACCCUGAUCCAGCCAUGCCGCGUGUGUGAAGAAGGCCUUUUGGUUGUAAGCACUUUAAGCGAGGAGGAGGCUACCGAGAUUAAUACUCUUGUAUAGUGGACGUUACUCGCAGAAUAAGCACCGGCUAACUCUGUGCCAGCAGCCGCGGUAAUACAGAGGGUGCAAGCGUUAAUCGGAUUUACUGGGCGUAAAGCGCGCGUAGGUGGCCAAUUAAGUCAAAUGUGAAAUCCCCGAGCUUAACUUGGGAAUUGCAUUCGAUACUGGUUGGCUAGAGUAUGGGAGAGGAUGGUAGAAUUCCAGGUGUAGCGGUGAAAUGCGUAGAGAUCUGGAGGAAUACCGAUGGCGAAGGCAGCCAUCUGGCCUAAUACUGACACUGAGGUGCGAAAGCAUGGGGAGCAAACAGGAUUAGAAACCCUGUAGUCC